This 394-nucleotide RNase P RNA is filed under the name uncultured Desulfococcus sp. RNAcentral's name for it is "Bacterial RNase P class A". It matches the Rfam family "Bacterial RNase P class A". From Rfam's summary of the family: Ribonuclease P (RNase P) is a ubiquitous endoribonuclease, found in archaea, bacteria and eukarya as well as chloroplasts and mitochondria. Its best characterised activity is the generation of mature 5'-ends of tRNAs by cleaving the 5'-leader elements of precursor-tRNAs. Cellular RNase Ps are ribonucleoproteins. Lineage: Bacteria; Pseudomonadati; Thermodesulfobacteriota; Desulfobacteria; Desulfobacterales; Desulfococcaceae. The record is from RNAcentral.
AGCAGCCCGGGCAAUCGCUGGACAUUUCAUGUCCGGAGGAAAGUCCGAACACCGCAGGGCAGGGUGCUCCAUAACGUGGAGUCGCGGCGACGCGAAGGAAAGUGCAACAGAGAGCAGACCGCCGUUUUCCGCGGGCAGCGGCCCGACACCCGGGCCAAAAUUCCGGCGGCUGACGGUAAGGGUGAAACGGUGCGGUAAGAGCGCACCAGUUCUCCGGGCGACCGGAGAAGCUAGGUAAACCCCACCCGGUGCAAGACCAAAUAGGGGAGUGCUUGAGGGCGGCCCGUCCGAGCUCCCGGGUAGGUUGCAAGAGGUGCCGGGCAAUCGGCAUCCAUAGAGGAAUGAUUGCCGCCAUCCUUCGGGGUGGAACAGAAUUCGGCUUAUGGGCUGCUCC